AGAGCCAGAACCAGUAGUGGAGCCAGCAGCAGGAACCCCACCACCAGCAAAGCCACACAACCCCCAUCGUCCAAGAGAUCCGAGCAGUAGACGGAAGUACCGUGGCGCUGAACCUUUGGAACAAAUGGAGAGGAAUGCAAGGAAAAGACAGUGGAUUAUCAGGAGAGAGAGAUAAAAGGGGUGCUGGUGAAACAUGCAAGUUAAGUGUGGAGGGAUGGUGGAAAACAAGAUAUAUCCUGAGAGUCAUAAAAGAGGAAAACCUGUCUUCCUGUCCUUGGAGCCAGGAUUUCCGCAGUAAAGUCUGCAGAGAGUGCUGAGGUGUCGCAGAAACAUUACUCCUGUCCCAUGACCUCUGCAGGCCUCCACUUCCACUCCACAGACAGACAGGAGACUGUGAAUCUGUAACCUUCCUCUAAUACACUUCCACACACAAUCCAGAAAUAACGACACGUAAACAGAUAGGAAUUUAUCAGAAUGUUUUAUUUUUUAUAGUUAUCAUUAUAUCAGGUAUAACACACAAAAAUCACAGAAUGUUUUAGACAAGUCUGGCUCAGAUCCUUAACAUUUUUCCUUUUAUUUUUUCAUUUUCUUUUCUUUUUUUCUUUUUUUUUAUACAGUAAAACAAACAAAAAUGGCAAUGAACCUGAAAACAAACUCGGAGAGGAGAGGUAUCGAUGUAAUGCAAAUCUGAAAACUCUCAACAAUCUGAAAUUCAUCAAUAAUGAUACAAAUCAGAAAGGUCAUUAUAAUCAUAACAGCUAGAAUGACUGGAAUCAUACACGUGUCACAAUAUCCUGUACCUCAUGUAAAGCAAACAAAUUUCAUGUGUUAAAUAUACAGUACAAAGACAUUCAGUUCAUAAAAGUGUACUGACUCUGUUCUAAGCACCAACUUGUGAGAUUAAAUUCAUGUUUUCAAACCUACAGAUCAUUUAUACAGACAGAGAGACCCGGGAGGGGGAGGGGGAUCAGCACCAUUUUGAAUCAGACGUUCCCCCGUAAGCCUCACCACAUCAGCACAACAGAAAGAUUUACAAAAUACAUAUGUCUCCGAAAAGAGAAGCAUCACAAACAAUCAAUAAAUACAAAAGGAAAAGUCAAGUAAAUAAAUAAAAAACAAAACAAAGAGUAAUGCAAUUAUGAUUCAAAAACUUUUAUAUUCAGAAAAUCAAAUAAAAGGAUAAAAUCAAUCGAGAAAUGCUUCAAAAGCCACAAGUUCGCAGGAAUGAUUUUUUUUUUUUUGAGUUGUACAAAAAAGAUUCACUUAACACACAUAAGGUUUUCCAGACAAAUGCAAUCAAAUAAGUUUUAGAUUAAACCCGUAUUUUUUGGAAUAACUGUUACAUAUACUGUACGUCACGUGAUAUUUUAAUGCUCUAAGAAAAUGUCAUUAUUUACUUAAUCAAAUACCAUGAAAUCACCUUUUGUCUAAAUGCAUAUCACAAGGCCCAAAUGGUGUUAGUCUAGACUGUUAAAAAAGUUUUUUUUUUCUCUUUCUGAAAACCUUUGACAACUUAAAAAAAUAGCACCCAGUAAAAUAUGCAAAUACCAUUUACAAAGGUCAGACUUGUAGUAAAUAUGACACGACCGAAACAACAGAAAAAAAAAAUGUAAUGCCACUGCAAUGGUCAUCAGCUCUAAGAGAAAUGAAUCCCCUGCUUAUAUAUACGUUGUAUCAAAGCACCACUCAGAUAAACCAGAGACAUAGAAUAACUGGACCGGUGAAAUCGUCUUCCAUUUGCAUAAAAAAGUAAACUACAUCAGUACCUGAAUUAAUGCACAUGUUCGGCAAGUUGACAAUUUUUUUUUUUUU
Ctenopharyngodon idella (grass carp) is the source of this 1812-nucleotide long non-coding RNA. RefSeq lists it as uncharacterized. The transcript has 2 exons. The record is from RefSeq and is a predicted model, not a curated record. Lineage: Eukaryota; Metazoa; Chordata; Actinopteri; Cypriniformes; Xenocyprididae.